Non-coding RNA from Kogia breviceps (pygmy sperm whale), 903 nucleotides. Lineage: Eukaryota; Metazoa; Chordata; Mammalia; Artiodactyla; Physeteridae. The record is from RefSeq and is a predicted model, not a curated record.
UCGGGGCGUCCGGGGGCGCGGCGCGCGUCCCCGACCGGACGCCGCGGCGCGUUAGGCGGCCCGGCGGGCGCGCGGCCGGUGGCCGAGAGCGAGGCGGGCCCGGAGCGCGGCGCAGGGAACGCGCGGCCGUCGGGUCGCGCGAAGGACCGCUGCGCGGGGCCGGACGCUCGGCGGCGCGCUCUCUCGCCGACAAGUGAGGAGGCGAAGGGAGGUCGUCGUCGGGCCCUCAGGGCUCGUUGAGAAAGUCACCAGUCACAGGUGUGUACAUGUGACACCGGCACCUUGAACUCUCCGGAGCACUGGAAACUCCUGCAGGCUCUGUCUACUGAAGAGGCCCAGAAGCAAUGUUACCCAGAGGUAAUGAACAUACUAGUGCCAAGACCUUGGUUUCAAAAAUACUGUUCAUCACUGAAAGGAAGGAAUGUUCCCUGGAUAAAUGGCUGAUUCCAGAUCAGAAACAGAGAAUUGUACAAGAACCAACUUACAAUAAUGGUAUUACAGGUAGUCAACCACAUAAAAACCCACCACAGGAAGCGAAUUGAAAAGUAGCCACAACAAGUAAACCAAAGAAGAAAGCAAACUGAAACCAUUCUUGCAUAUGGACAAGAACCUCCCUUUUUAAUCCUUUUUUCUCAUGUAAUAAUUAGCAGAAGGCUUUUUAUAUGACAGGGGCUUGUUAUAGUUUAAGGUCCAGCCAGGUAACUGUGGGUUACUAAGACUGACUCAGAAAUAGGGCGAUGUGGGGAUAAAGUUCCCUGAACAUGGAACAAGACAGAAAAGCACUUGAUAACUAGGGCUAGAAUUCCUAAUUAGGAAUAGAGCUCCCAGUGAAAGAUGCUACAUCCCAAAGUGGGGGCCGACAGUGGGGAUGGUAAAUACCUAAUGUCAUUCUAUCCCUCCUUU